CCCGAGCCCAGCCUUUCUCGCCGCGGCCGGCUCUGAUCUGACUCGAGUCCCUCCCGUCCUCCUUCUUUGCUGCGACACAAGUUUCCUUCCCUGCCAGCCGGCCCCUCCCCCACUGAAACACACCAAAAAAAAAGAAAGAAAGAAAGAAAGAAAAAUCCGGGAACCGCAAAUACUAUCCCUGCCGCAGCAUGAUGAGCCCGCGUGGUUUUUGAAAUUCAUCACUUCUAAUUAUUUUUGACCUUGGGCCAGUUAUUUAACCCCUCUGCUUCUGUGUUUCCUCCUCAGAUGCAAACAACAUUCUUUCCAUGAUGCUCUUGUUUCCCACCAGACCCACCAGACACCUUCACUGUUUUGUUGAGGAUAAAGCACUGGGCAUGCGGUGAUGAAAAAACAGAUGAAGUCUCUGUCUU
This 410-nucleotide long non-coding RNA is filed under the name Equus asinus (donkey). RNAcentral's name for it is "lncRNA (ENSEASG00005030324.1)". Lineage: Eukaryota; Metazoa; Chordata; Mammalia; Perissodactyla; Equidae. The record is from RNAcentral.